This 216-nucleotide ribosomal RNA is filed under the name Glomeromycotina sp. RNAcentral's name for it is "partial small subunit ribosomal RNA". The stretch from base 40 to 216 matches the Rfam family "Eukaryotic small subunit ribosomal RNA", at positions 686 to 864 of the family's 1831-position model. Lineage: Eukaryota; Fungi; Glomeromycota. The record is from RNAcentral.
GGGUCAGUAGGUCGGUCGUGCCACCGGUACGUACUGGUCUCACUGAUUCCUCCUUCCUGAAGAACCGUAAUGCCAUUAAUUUGGUGUUGCGGGGAAACAGGACUGUUACUUUGAGAAAAUUAGAGUGUUUAAAGCAAGCUAACGCUUGAAUACAUUAGCAUGGAAUAAUGAAAUAGGACGAUCGAUCCUAUUUUGUUGGUUUCUAGGAUUGACGUA